UGGCGUGAGUCGCGUUCAUAAUACCUCGGAAAUGGGAUGAUAGUUUUCAUAUUGCGCACACAUACUUGCGUAUAUUUGAUUUAUCUUUAUAUAAGAUGUUAACAUCUACACUUGUGCAUCUAUGGACGCGAACAUGGGACUUCGGCAGCAAGAUGAAGACCCUGCAAAGUCCAAAGAAUCCACCUUGUCUUUGCCGAAACACUCCUACUGGUUCGACUUUUGGAUUUUCGUCGUCUUUGACGUUGUGUUUUUCCUGAUUAUGUAUUUUAUAGUUCCCUAAUAUGGGCGAUGAGGGGGACCAGAGACUGAACUGCGAUUACCAGUCCUGCUCAUCGUUGUGGAAAUGCUAACCCAGCAAUCGACUGAAUCCUCACACAAUUUAAUACGAUGUCCAUAAUAGUUUCUCGUAUUCAAAGACGAAAGAUGUGCCUUUUUAAACACGUGUUUUCUUAACCAUGUCUCACUUUGUGUGGCAAUUGCCACUUCUGGAAGGACUAUUGAAUCGGAUGAUGAAUUGACAUUUCAUUUGUAAUAAAGAAAAUGUCUUUAUUUUUCUGUUUCAACUGAAACUAAAAUGUUACAAUCAUAGAUGUUACCGAUGGAAAAUAAAUCAGUGUUUGUGAAGUGUG
Molecule: long non-coding RNA, 629 nt
Organism: Syngnathus acus (greater pipefish)
Lineage: Eukaryota; Metazoa; Chordata; Actinopteri; Syngnathiformes; Syngnathidae
Exons: 3
Source: RefSeq, a predicted model, not a curated record